This 1001-nucleotide long non-coding RNA is filed under the name Ananas comosus (pineapple). Its description in RNAcentral is "long non-coding RNA (ACOM_LNC010347)". Lineage: Eukaryota; Viridiplantae; Streptophyta; Magnoliopsida; Poales; Bromeliaceae. The record is from RNAcentral.
AUCAUUUACCUUACGAUCAAAAGCUCACAAAAUUGAUAAUUUUUAACGGCUGGUAUGGGAUACUUGCUAGUUUAACAGUGCAAAAGAAUCCGAAUAGGUUGAAUUUUUGAUAGAAAAUUCUAUUCACUACCUAGAUAAAGAUCAAUAACUCUGAUCUUAAAUUGAAGGAUCCAAUCAUCCAUUUUAGGACGUCGUUCGAUUUUGACUGUUUAUUUUAUGCCCGCUUGAUGGAAUUUAUUAUGAUUUCGAAAAGUUACAAAAUUUAUUUUCUAAAAGUUUCAAAUACUCUAGAUCAUAUUUAACGGAGUGGAUCGUCGAUUCGGAAGCUCAAUCAUCGAAAACAACUUAUGAGUACGAAGGGCCCAAUACUUAUAAUAGUAUAGUAGCCCUACUCUCUCUCUCUCUCUCUCUCUAUAUAUAUAUAUAUAGAGUAGGGCUACUAUACUCUUAUGAGUAUAGAACCCUUACUACUCAUAAGUUGUUUUCGAUGUUGGAGUUUUUCGAAUCGACGAUCCACACCGUUAAAUAUGAUCUAGAGUAUUUGAAACUUCUAGAAAUCAAAUUUCAUAAUUUUUCGACAUCAUUUACCAUACGAUCAAAAGCUCACAAAAUUGAUAAUUUUUAAUAGCCGGUAUGGGAUACUUGCUAGUUUAACGGUAGAAAAGAAUCGGAAUAGGUUGAAUUUUUGAUAGAAAAUUCUAUUCACUACCUAGAUAAAGAUCAAUAACUCCGAUCUUAAAUUGAAGGAUCCGAUCAUCCAUUUUUAGGACGUGAUUCGAUUUUGACCGUUCAUUUUAUGUCCACUUGAUGGACUUUAUUAUGAUUUCGAAAAAUUACGAAAUUUAUUUUCUAGAAGUUUCAAAUACUCUAGAUCAUAUUUAACAGAGUGGAUCGUCAAUUCGGAAGCUCCAUCAUCGAAAACAACUUAUGAAUACUAAGGGCCCACUACUCAUAAGAGUAUAGUAGCCCUACUCUAUAUAUAUAUAUCACAACAUAUAACC